This 253-nucleotide ribosomal RNA is filed under the name uncultured bacterium. RNAcentral describes it as "partial 16S ribosomal RNA". It matches the Rfam family "Bacterial small subunit ribosomal RNA", at positions 524 to 776 of the family's 1533-position model. The record is from RNAcentral.
UACGGAGGGUGCGAGCGUUGCUCGGAAUCACUGGGCGUAAAGCGCGUGUAGGCGGUCAGGCAAGUCAGAUGUGAAAGCCCCUGGCUUAACCAGGGAAGUGCAUUUGAAACUGCUUGGCUGGAGUACGGGAGAGGAGAGUGGAAUUCCCGGUGUAGAGGUGAAAUUCGUAGAUAUCGGGAGGAACACCGGUGGCGAAGGCGGCUCUCUGGCCCGAUACUGACGCUGAGACGCGAAAGCGUGGGGAGCAAACAGG